This 253-nucleotide ribosomal RNA is filed under the name uncultured bacterium. RNAcentral's name for it is "partial 16S ribosomal RNA". It matches the Rfam family "Bacterial small subunit ribosomal RNA", at positions 524 to 776 of the family's 1533-position model. The record is from RNAcentral.
UACAGAGGUGGCAAGCGUUGUUCGGAAUCACUGGGCGUAAAGCGCACGUAGGCGGAUGUGUCAGUCAGGGGUGAAAUCCCGGGGCUCAACCUCGGAACUGCCUUUGAUACAGCACGUCUCGAGUCCGGAAGAGGUGGGUGGAAUUCCUAGUGUAGAGGUGAAAUUCGUAGAUAUUAGGAAGAACACCGGUGGCGAAGGCGGCCCACUGGUCCGGUACUGACGCUGAGGUGCGAAAGCGUGGGGAGCAAACAGG